AUUCCCGUAAUUCAACUGGAUAGAAUAACGACCUUCUAAGUCGUAUGUUGCUGGAUCGUGCCCAGCCGGGAAUGC
This 75-nucleotide transfer RNA is filed under the name compost metagenome. Its description in RNAcentral is "tRNA-Arg". It matches the Rfam family "tRNA". Rfam says of the family: Transfer RNA (tRNA) molecules are approximately 80 nucleotides in length. The record is from RNAcentral.